GGCGCGGUGGCGGAGUGGCUACGCAGAGGCCUGCAAAGCCUUGAACACCGGUUCGAUUCCGGUCCGCGCCUCCA
Molecule: transfer RNA, 74 nt
Filed under: Rhodospirillaceae bacterium
Lineage: Bacteria; Pseudomonadati; Pseudomonadota; Alphaproteobacteria; Rhodospirillales; Rhodospirillaceae
Also listed under: 2 other names
Description: tRNA-Cys
Rfam family: tRNA
About the family: Transfer RNA (tRNA) molecules are approximately 80 nucleotides in length. Their secondary structure includes four short double-helical elements and three loops (D, anti-codon, and T loops).
Source: RNAcentral